UACGUAGGGUGCAAGCGUUAAUCGGAAUUACUGGGCGUAAAGCGUGCGCAGGCGGUUUUGUAAGACAGGCGUGAAAUCCCCGGGCUUAACCUGGGAAUGGCGCUUGUGACUGCAAAGCUGGAGUGCGGCAGAGGGGGAUGGAAUUCCGCGUGUAGCAGUGAAAUGCGUAGUUAUGCGGAGGAACACCGAUGGCGAAGGCAAUCCCCUGGGCCUGCACUGACGCUCAUGCACGAAAGCGUGGGGAGCAAACAGG
Molecule: ribosomal RNA, 253 nt
Filed under: uncultured bacterium
Lineage: Bacteria
Description: partial 16S ribosomal RNA
Rfam family: Bacterial small subunit ribosomal RNA
Source: RNAcentral